Molecule: ribosomal RNA, 424 nt
Filed under: uncultured bacterium
Lineage: Bacteria
Description: bacterial SSU rRNA
Rfam family: Bacterial small subunit ribosomal RNA
Source: RNAcentral
AACGAACGCUGGCGGCGUGCCUAACACAUGCAAGUCGUGCGAGAAAGUUCCUUCGGGAGCGAGUAAAAGCGGCGCACGGGUGAGUAACACGUAGGUAACCUGCCCCCCAGUCUGGAACAACUAGAGGAAACUCUAGCUAAUGCCGGAUGAGACCACGAUCCCUUCGGGGGUUGCGGCCAAAGAUGGCCUCUACUUGUAAGCUAUCGCUGAGGGAUGGGCCUGCGGGCCAUUAGCUUGUUGGUGAGGUAACGGCUCACCAAGGCUGUGAUGGCUAGCUGGUCUGAGAGGAUGACCAGCCACACUGGGACUGAGACACGGCCCAGACUCCUACGGGAGGCAGCAGUGGGAAUAUUGCGCAAUGGGACGAAGCCUGACGCAGCGACGCCGCGUGGGUGAUGAAGGCCUGGUCGUAAGACCUCGUCGU